RNAcentral lists this ribosomal RNA (495 nucleotides) under uncultured bacterium. RNAcentral describes it as "partial 16S ribosomal RNA". It matches the Rfam family "Bacterial small subunit ribosomal RNA", at positions 28 to 507 of the family's 1533-position model. The record is from RNAcentral.
GAUGAACGCUGGCGGCGUGCCUAAUACAUGCAAGUAGAACGCUGAAGGAGGAGCUUGCUCUUCUGGAUGAGUUGCGAACGGGUGAGUAACGCGUAGGUAACCUGCCUGGUAGCGGGGGAUAACUAUUGGAAACGAUAGCUAAUACCGCAUGACAACAGUUAAUGCAUGAUAACUGUUUAAAAGGGGCAACUGCUCCACUACCAGAUGGACCUGCGUUAUAUUAGCUAGUUGGUGAGGUAACGGCUCACCAAGGCGACGAUACAUAGCCGACCUGAGAGGGUGAUCGGCCACACUGGGACUGAGACACGGCCCAGACUCCUACGGGAGGCAGCAGUAGGGAAUCUUCGGCAAUGGACGGAAGUCUGACCGAGCAACGCCGCGUGAGUGAAGAAGGUUUUCGGAUCGUAAAGCUCUGUUGUAAGAGAAGAACGAGUGUGAGAGUGGAAAGUUCACACUGUGACGGUAUCUUACCAGAAAGGGACGGCUAACUACGUG